RNAcentral lists this non-coding RNA (114 nucleotides) under Eutreptiella gymnastica. Lineage: Eukaryota; Euglenozoa; Euglenophyceae; Eutreptiales; Eutreptiaceae. The record is from RNAcentral.
UUGACCCGGGCUCUCAAACCUUGGUGGCAUGGCUCAGGAAUGAAACGCCUUGGUGAGACCAACGCUAUAUCUUUGGAUGCCUUCUCUUUGACCUCCUUUAUUCUUGUGACCCAU